CCCUAACUUCGUGCAGAAAACCCCUUCAGCUAUUUCCCGAUCGAGCCUUCGUCCAUGCCCGACGCAAGGAUCGAAAUCGGGCAUCAGAAUGAUUAUUUUUUUUCCUAAGAUCCCCAUUCGGAGUAACGAGCGGUUGGACUAGAUUGGGAUGAAUCGAACGUUUUCUGGAGGAGUGACCGACGAUUGCAGAGAUGCGUAGGGCGUUGGCAAACAGUGCUGUGUAAUUAUAAACAAUAUCAACCGUCGGGGCUGAGCCAAGACAUGCGACAUCAAUGUGGCUUUGAGAGGGUCUCUGAACUUGUGUAUAUGCCUAUCAAAAUCUGCAUUUGCUGUGAUCAAGGGACCGAGCCAAGACAUGCCACAGCAAUGUGACUUGGAGAUGGUCUGAAAACUUCCAUGCGCCUAUCAAAGUCUGUAUUUGCAGUGUUCGAGGUAUGCCUCUGAUGUUGUGCUGCAAGCAUUAAAGUCCCCUCCAUAACCUCUGGUUUGAGUUCAGGAAAGCUGUAAACUGCUUUAAUAGGUGCAUGCAUCUUAGGCGAUCGACUCCACUUUCUUGUGUCCACUUGAUCUUAUAGUGCAGUUUUGUCGCCUUCU
This is a long non-coding RNA of Musa acuminata AAA Group (dessert banana), 594 nucleotides long. RefSeq lists it as uncharacterized. Lineage: Eukaryota; Viridiplantae; Streptophyta; Magnoliopsida; Zingiberales; Musaceae. The record is from RefSeq and is a predicted model, not a curated record. The transcript is spliced from 3 exons.